This 122-nucleotide non-coding RNA is filed under the name uncultured Blautia sp. Its description in RNAcentral is "Glycine riboswitch". It matches the Rfam family "Glycine riboswitch aptamer", at positions 7 to 88 of the family's 94-position model. From Rfam's summary of the family: This family represents the bacterial glycine riboswitch. Lineage: Bacteria; Bacillati; Bacillota; Clostridia; Lachnospirales; Lachnospiraceae. The record is from RNAcentral.
UUUCUCUGGAGACACCCGUUAGAUCGGGGGCCGAAGGUGCAAAUAACAUGGACUAUCAUAUAACCGCCGACAAAUGGUUAUCUGACCCGUGUCUUGAAUCUCUCAGGCAAAAGGACAGAGGA